ACACCCAUAUCAUGUUGAAGGACUGAUUUUCAUAUGAUCACUGAAGUUAAGCAAUAUUGAGCCUGGUCAGUAACUAGAUGAGUGACCUCUUGGAAAUAGCAGGUGCUGUAAG
Molecule: non-coding RNA, 112 nt
Organism: Acanthosepion pharaonis
Lineage: Eukaryota; Metazoa; Mollusca; Cephalopoda; Sepiida; Sepiidae
Source: the annotation of a GenBank genome assembly